This 77-nucleotide transfer RNA is filed under the name Klebsiella pneumoniae. Its description in RNAcentral is "tRNA-Ala(tgc)". It matches the Rfam family "tRNA". From Rfam's summary of the family: Transfer RNA (tRNA) molecules are approximately 80 nucleotides in length. Their secondary structure includes four short double-helical elements and three loops (D, anti-codon, and T loops). Lineage: Bacteria; Pseudomonadati; Pseudomonadota; Gammaproteobacteria; Enterobacterales; Enterobacteriaceae. The record is from RNAcentral.
GGGGCUAUAGCUCAGCUGGGAGGAGCGCCUGCUUUGCACGCAGGAGGUCUGCGGUUCGAUCCCGCAUAGCUCCACCA